Molecule: ribosomal RNA, 1491 nt
Filed under: metagenome
Description: bacterial SSU rRNA
Rfam family: Bacterial small subunit ribosomal RNA
Source: RNAcentral
AGAGUUUGAUCCUGGCUCAGAUUGAACGCUGGCGGCAUGCCUUACACAUGCAAGUCGAACGGCAGCACGGGUGCUUGCACCUGGUGGCGAGUGGCGAACGGGUGAGUAAUAUAUCGGAACGUACCCUAGAGUGGGGGAUAACGUAGCGAAAGUUACGCUAAUACCGCAUACGAUCUACGGAUGAAAGUGGGGGAUCGCAAGACCUCAUGCUCAUGGAGCGGCCGAUAUCUGAUUAGCCAGUUGGUGGGGUAAAAGCCUACCAAGGCGACGAUCAGUAGCUGGUCUGAGAGGACGACCAGCCACACUGGAACUGAGACACGGUCCAGACUCCUACGGGAGGCAGCAGUGGGGAAUUUUGGACAAUGGGGGCAACCCUGAUCCAGCAAUGCCGCGUGAGUGAAGAAGGCCUUCGGGUUGUAAAGCUCUUUUGUCAGGGAAGAAACGGGAUUUUCUAAUACAAAGUCCUAAUGACGGUACCUGAAGAAUAAGCACCGGCUAACUACGUGCCAGCAGCCGCGGUAAUACGUAGGGUGCAAGCGUUAAUCGGAAUUACUGGGCGUAAAGCGUGCGCAGGCGGUUGUGCAAGACAGAUGUGAAAUCCCCGGGCUCAACCUGGGAAUUGCAUUUGUGACUGCACGGCUAGAGUGUGUCAGAGGGGGGUAGAAUUCCACGUGUAGCAGUGAAAUGCGUAGAGAUGUGGAGGAAUACCGAUGGCGAAGGCAGCCCCCUGGGAUAACACUGACGCUCAUGCACGAAAGCGUGGGGAGCAAACAGGAUUAGAUACCCUGGUAGUCCACGCCCUAAACGAUGUCUACUAGUUGUCGGGUCUUAAUUGACUUGGUAACGCAGCUAACGCGUGAAGUAGACCGCCUGGGGAGUACGGUCGCAAGAUUAAAACUCAAAGGAAUUGACGGGGACCCGCACAAGCGGUGGAUGAUGUGGAUUAAUUCGAUGCAACGCGAAAAACCUUACCUACCCUUGACAUGUACGGAACUUACCAGAGAUGGUUUGGUGCUCGAAAGAGAACCGUAACACAGGUGCUGCAUGGCUGUCGUCAGCUCGUGUCGUGAGAUGUUGGGUUAAGUCCCGCAACGAGCGCAACCCUUGUCAUUAGUUGCUACGAAAGGGCACUCUAAUGAGACUGCCGGUGACAAACCGGAGGAAGGUGGGGAUGACGUCAAGUCCUCAUGGCCCUUAUGGGUAGGGCUUCACACGUCAUACAAUGGUACAUACAGAGGGCCGCCAACCCGCGAGGGGGAGCUAAUCCCAGAAAGUGUAUCGUAGUCCGGAUUGUAGUCUGCAACUCGACUACAUGAAGUUGGAAUCGCUAGUAAUCGCGGAUCAGCAUGUCGCGGUGAAUACGUUCCCGGGUCUUGUACACACCGCCCGUCACACCAUGGGAGCGGGUUUCACCAGAAGUAGGUAGCCUAACCGCAAGGAGGGCGCUUACCACGGUGGGAUUCGUGACUGGGGUGAAGUCGUAACAAGGUA